GUCUAUCGUACCUUGUUGCUUCGGCGGGCCCGCCGUUUCGACGGCCGCCGGGGAGGCCUUGCGCCCCCGGGCCCGCGCCCGCCGAAGACCCCAACAUGAACGCUGUUCUGAAAGUAUGCAGUCUGAGUUGAUUAUCGUAAUCAGUUAAAACUUUCAACAACGGAUCUCUUGGUUCCGGCAUCGAUGAAGAACGCAGCGAAAUGCGAUAAGUAAUGUGAAUUGCAGAAUUCAGUGAAUCAUCGAGUCUUUGAACGCACAUUGCGCCCCCUGGUAUUCCGGGGGGCAUGCCUGUCCGAGCGUCAUUGCUGCCCUCAAGCACGGCUUGUGUGUUGGGCCCCCGUCCCCCUCUCCCGGGGGACGGGCCCGAAAGGCAGCGGCGGCACCGCGUCCGGUCCUCGAGCGUAUGGGGCUUUGUCACCUGCUCUGUAGGCCCGGCCGGCGCCAGCCGACACCCAACUUUAUUUUUCUAAGGUUGACCUCGGAUCAGGUAGGGAUACCCGCUGAACUUAAGCAUAUCAAUAAGCGGAGGAAAAGAAACCAACAGGGAUUGCCUCAGUAACGGCGAGUGAAGCGGCAAGAGCUCAAAUUUGAAAGCUGGCCCCUUCGGGGUCCGCGUUGUAAUUUGCAGAGGAUGCUUCGGGUGCAGCCCCCGUCUAAGUGCCCUGGAACGGGCCGUCAUAGAGGGUGAGAAUCCCGUCUGGGACGGGGUGUCUGCGUCCGUGUGAAGCUCCUUCGACGAGUCGAGUUGUUUGGGAAUGCAGCUCUAAAUGGGUGGUAAAUUUCAUCUAAAGCUAAAUACUGGCCGGAGACCGAUAGCGCACAAGUAGAGUGAUCGAAAGAUGAAAAGCACUUUGAAAAGAGAGUUAAACAGCACGUGAAAUUGUUGAAAGGGAAGCGUUUGCGACCAGACUCGCCCGCGGGGUUCAGCCGGCAUUCGUGCCGGUGUACUUCCCCGUGGGCGGGCCAGCGUCGGUUUGGGCGGCCGGUCAAAGGCCCUCGGAAUGUAUCACCUCUCGGG
This 1018-nucleotide ribosomal RNA is filed under the name Eurotiomycetes sp. genotype 108. Its description in RNAcentral is "eukaryotic LSU rRNA". The stretch from base 474 to 1018 matches the Rfam family "Eukaryotic large subunit ribosomal RNA", at positions 1 to 550 of the family's 3401-position model. The record is from RNAcentral. Lineage: Eukaryota; Fungi; Ascomycota; Eurotiomycetes.